Drosophila arizonae is the source of this 327-nucleotide long non-coding RNA. NCBI's taxonomy places the organism in Eukaryota, Metazoa, Arthropoda, Insecta, Diptera, Drosophilidae. The record is from RefSeq and is a predicted model, not a curated record.
UGUACGCUGUAAAUUGCUUCGUCGCCCAGCCAAGUGCCUGGCAACCCUACGCCACUGACAUAGCGGCUCACACGCAUACAAUACAUGCGAACGCAAACCUCACACAUUUGUACCAACACACACAAAGCGCGUAUAGAAAAUUUUUUUCAACGUGCAUAAGUUUUUACGGAGCUGGAAGCUGCUGGAGCUACAAAUAAACAGUAGAAAUCUUUGAAGCAGUUGUCAAACAAUUUAGUAAAUUAAUAAGUCAGCAAUUGUGAGUUGAGAAUAAUAUUGUGCAUACGUCGAAAAAAGAAGAAUAAUAACAAGAAUAACUGCACUCGGGAA